This 834-nucleotide ribosomal RNA is filed under the name uncultured Mycoplasmatota bacterium. Its description in RNAcentral is "bacterial SSU rRNA". It matches the Rfam family "Bacterial small subunit ribosomal RNA", at positions 36 to 873 of the family's 1533-position model. Lineage: Bacteria; Bacillati; Mycoplasmatota. The record is from RNAcentral.
CUGGCGGCAUGCCUAAWACAUGCAAGUCGGACGAGGGUAGCAAUACCCUAGUGGCGAACGGGUGAGUAACACGUGGGAAAUCUGCUUAAGUCGAGGAUAACUGCUGGAAACGGCAGCUAAACUGGAUAGGUUAUAUUGGGGCAUCUGAUAUAAUUAAAAGUCCUUUACGGGAAUGCUUAAGAUGAUCCUGCGUCGCAUUAGCUAGUUGGUGAGGUAGCGGCUCACCAAGGCGACGAUGCGUAGCUGUGCUGAGAGGCAAAACAGCCACACUGGGACUGAGACACGGCCCAGACUCCUACGGGAGGCAGCAGUAGGGAAUUUUCGGCAAUGGGGGAGACCCUGACCGAGCAAUGCCGCGUGAAUGAAGAAGGUCUUCGGACUGUAAAAUUCUGUUAUUUGUGGAAGAAAGGUAGUUGGAGGAAAUGCCAAUUACUUGACGGUACCAAAUGAGAAAGCCCCGGCUAACUAUGUGCCAGCAGCCGCGGUAAUACAUAGGGGGCGAGCGUUAUCCGGAAUUAUUGGGCGUAAAGCGUGCGUAGGUGGUCAGUUAAGUCUGGCGUGAAAUUCCCUGGCUUAACCAGGGGGGGUCGUUGGAAACUGGUUGACUUGAAUCCAGAAGGGGUAAGUGGAAUUCCAUGUGUAGCGGUAAAAUGCAUAGAGAUAUGGAGGAACACCAGUGGCGAAGGCGGCUUACUGGUCUGGGAUUGACACUGAGGCACGAAAGCGUGGGUAGCAAACAGGAUUAGAUACCCUGGUAGUCCACGCCGUAACCGUUGAGCACUAAGUGUCGGACGAAAGUUCGGUGCKGUAGUUAACGCAKUAAGKGCUYCCGCC